Molecule: long non-coding RNA, 1444 nt
Filed under: Mytilus galloprovincialis (Mediterranean mussel)
Lineage: Eukaryota; Metazoa; Mollusca; Bivalvia; Mytilida; Mytilidae
Source: RNAcentral
UUUUCGUAUUGGUAGCUUCAUUACUCGCGAUCGCUUCAUCUCGAAUCAUUUAGCAUACAAUCCAGUGCAAUAUGUUGAAAGUUUUUGUACAAGGUCAUAUGGCUUUAUAGUUAACCAAGUUGAAGUAAUUAUCAAUUAACCUUAUAGUCAUACAUUUCUGGAGCACAAACUCCUAUAAGAUGCCAUUAGAUUUUAUCAGACCAAAUGUAACAGAUCUUCAUAACAAUAAAGCAAUCAUUUUGCGCUUGUUCUUUUAAACAUAUCUUUUAUAAUGUUUGUUUUUAUUGUUUGGUGGGAGCUGAGUCUGAUUCAAAAAAAUACUCAACAGAAUUUCGAUUGGUUGAUGAUGAUUUUUAUGUGUUGCAAUUGAACAUAUUUUCCUGUUCAAUUGAAGUUUUAUUGUCUUAUUGUAAUACUUUUUUUGUAAAUUCAUAGGUAUAUUUGUUCGACUCUGGUUGUUGUUUGAAUGAUUUUUAUUGAUUGGUGUGCAUUGGGUCUUAUUCAUAAAUACGUUUGUCUGAGUUUCGAUUGGUUGAUAAUGAUUUGUAUUUGUUUCAAAUGGGUUCUUCUUGAUCAAUUUAAGUUUAAAUAACUUUUGGUAAUGCCUGCUCAGUAGAUUCAUAAUGUGACGAACUUCAUUAUGUGCCUUUUAUCUUUUAUUAAUUAUUUACUUAUUAUUCAUAAAUUGUAAUUCAUGAAGGGCAGUUCACUAUCUUAUUUUCAUGGUUUAUAAAGGUAUGUAUAAAUUGCACCCUGAUUGGCACCCCACUCAUUUAUUUACGCGCCAGGUUAAAAUCAUGUGACAGGUAGCACAUUGUUAUUUAUACAGGUAAAGUGGUUAGACAUAGCACACCUAGAUUUUGAUGUGAACAGACGUUUAGGAAGCUGCAGAUCAGUUGGUGAUAUCUCAGAAUUGUUCAUGACAUGGAGUUUCACAGGAAAAUAUAAUAAAUUUGCUCAGGGAUUGAUCCAUGCAGUUUUAUGCUCAGUUUUGGAGCGGUAUCGUUUAAAUGGUCAUACAACGUACGUCCUACUUAUUGACACAGAUCUUCCCAUAUACCAGUUGUAAGGUUUAGAUUAACGCUUCUUACAACGACCAGUAUAAAUGUUAUGUGGCAGAAAUUGUGUAUUUUGAUUUACGAAAGUUGUUGUUAGUUUAACCGGAAGUGGUGUAUCAGAUAUACCGGAAAUUAGUGUUUUAUUUACCGGAAGUGGCAUAUCAGUAUAAAAGCUGUGCAAUUAGUGCAUUAUUUAAAUGAAGUAAAUAUAUAGUGAACCAUGCAUCUUAUUGAUGUUACAAGUGUUAUACAAGUCAAUAUCAAAUAGUGUAAAGUCUAUUUAGGUGAAAAUUUAGAUUAAUUCAAUCUGAAAGUAUUUGAUGUUCCAAACAACGUCCUAGAUCUUGACCGCAAACAGAGUAUAUGGUAGUAGGUGUGAUAAGGCA